AGAGUUUGAUCCUGGCUCAGGAUGAACGCUGGCGGCAUGCCUAAUACAUGCAAGUCGAACGAGGAUCCUUGUGGAUCCUAGUGGCGAACGGGUGAGUAACACGUAGGGAACCUGCCCGCGCACCGGGAAUACGCUCUGGAAACGGAGAACAAAUCCCGAUGUACAGGAAGGAGGCAUCUUCUUUCUGUGAAGCAUCCUUUACAGGAUGGGGCGCGGAUGGACCUGCGGUGCAUUAGUUAGUUGGCGAGGGUAAAGGCCCACCAAGACGAUGAUGCAUAGCCGGCCUGAGAGGGCGGACGGCCACAUUGGGACUGAGACACGGCCCAGACUCCUGCGGGAGGCAGCAGUAGGGAAUUUUCGUCAAUGGGCGCAAGCCUGAACGAGCGAUGCCGCGUGAGUGAAGAAGGCCUUCGGGUCGUAAAGCUCUGUUGCGGGGGAAAAAAGGCAGCUACAGGAAAUGGUAGAUGACAGAUGGUGCCCCGCCAGAAAGUCACGGCUAACUACGUGCCAGCAGCCGCGGUAAUACGUAGGUGGCGAGCGUUAUCCGGAAUGAUUGGGCGUAAAGGGUGCGCAGGCGGUCCUGCAAGUCUGGAGUGAAACGUAUGAGCUCAACUCAUGCAUGGCUCUGGAAACUGGAGGACUGGAGAGCAGGAGAGGGCGGUGGAACUCCAUGUGUAGCGGUAAAAUGCGUAGAUAUAUGGAAAAACACCAGUGGCGAAGGCGGCCGCCUGGCCUG
Molecule: ribosomal RNA, 736 nt
Filed under: uncultured bacterium
Lineage: Bacteria
Description: bacterial SSU rRNA
Rfam family: Bacterial small subunit ribosomal RNA
Source: RNAcentral